Molecule: ribosomal RNA, 373 nt
Filed under: uncultured organism
Description: partial 16S ribosomal RNA
Rfam family: Bacterial small subunit ribosomal RNA
Source: RNAcentral
AGAGGGUGCAAGCGUUAAUCGGAAUGACUGGGCGUAAAGAGCACGUAGGUUGUUGUAUAAGUUGGAUGUAAAAGCCCCGGGCUCAACCUGGGAAGGCCAUUCAAGACUGUACGACUAGAGAGCAGUAGAGGGAAGUGGAAUUCCCGGUGUAGCGGUGAAAUGCGUAGAUAUCGGAAGGAACACCAGAGGCGAAGGCGACUUUCUGGACUGCACCUGACACUGAGGUGCGAAAGCGUGGGGAGCGAACAGGAUUAGAUACCCUGGUAGUCCACGCCGUAAACGAUGAAAACCUAGCCCGUUGGGUAUGUAAAGUACUCAGUGGCGCAGCUAACGCAUUAAGUUUUCCGCCUGGGGAGUACGGCCGCAAGGUUAA